GACUUUCAGCUGAAAUGUGAAGAGUUUUCAUGAAUAUUAUUAAUAGUAAAUAUUUAAAAGUUUUAUUAUAAUGUUUUUACUGCCAGGCCAAGAACCAGAAGCGUGGUCGCUGCCUCCCCGCCCUCCAAUGGCCUGCUGUCCUCAGCAGACCCCAGUCAGCUCAGCCAAUCAGCUCCCAGCAUCAUGGAGCCCCUGCUGUGUUCCAACGCCAUGAUGCAGGCCAGAGCUCACAUCCAGACACGUACGUGUACCACACACACACACACACACACACACACAGUUUUAUGAUUGACGUCUCUUCUCCUCUGCAGGUCUGGGUUCCCACAACGCUGCAAAUGAGCAAAAUCUUUCAAAGGAUCUUUGGUCAGCUUUGCAUCCACGGACACCGAAGCUGUUGGCUCCUCUGGACGUCCGUCCUGGAGACACCACAGCACGUCCAGCUCUACGACAUCGUCUCCCCCUGAAGCCCAUCAACCAGAGCCCACUGAGCUCCAGGUCUCUUCACAGGAGAACAGGGCGCUCUCUGGGAGCUCCACGCACACACAGCAGCUGUCUCACUUUGAUCAACUUUGAGGAUGACGAAGGUGGUUUACGUGUGCACGAAGAGACGAAUCAGAAGUUGAAGAAAGCAUCAGGUGGUGAUGAACACACAGACUUAUUUUACACUGGGAACGAUGCGACACCCUUUGUAUCGACAUCAGAGGAGGAGAAGAGUGAAGGAGACAUAUUUAACCUGAGUGGUGAUGAUGAUGAUGAUGAUGAUGAUGAUGAUGAUGAUGAUGAUGAUGAUGAUGGUGGGGCUGUUAUCUGUUCUGAAUGGGUUUACACAAAUGGCAAACCGGACAUUGUCAUCACAGCAGAUAGAAAGGUCAAAAGAAGCCCAGAUGAAGGAAACACAGAGUUUGAAGUCUCUAACGUCAUUCCAACGAGCAAGGACGGAAUAUUUAAAGUUGUGAAACUCAAACUGAACAAGGAGAAAAGAUCCAAUCACAGCUUUGAACAGAAGGCGGUUCCACAGGCCAGUCACUCCUUUAACACAGUGGCACACAAGCCCAAAGCCAAUAAGAAGAACUCAACGUAUUCGUCACCCGUCAAAGAGAAAACCAGGAGAGGUCCUGAUCCGUCUGCCACCAAGAAUGUUCAGUCAAAGUCUAAAUACGCCUCCAAUAAUCCAUCACCACGGAAGAAAGUCUCUGAGCAUCUGCAGAACAAACGAGCACACGACAGGGUGAGCAUCAGCCGAGGCAGACGCGCCGCCGUCAGAGAGACAAUCGCUGCUCCGCACUCAAAGAAAGCCUGCGUUGGUGCCAAAAACCAGCGCUCCAAGUCGGUGUCGGACCUCGUCACCUACGAGGACAUGUUCCUGCAGAUAAACAGCGGGGACGAGGGUCCGGCCAUCUACGAGAUGUUCGCCGGUCCUCUUUACGACAACCUACGUGUCUCCGCCUCCAGUGAGAAACGCAGGGAGAGGCACGUCCAGUCGGCGCCGGCGAAGAAGAGUCAACCAGGCCACAAACUCAAACACAGAGCGCCAAAACCAAAACCAGUGCAGAACAAGAUGAGGAGGAGCCCCAGUGAGAGCUCAGUGGUUUCCACUAAAGCCAAAGCCAAACCACUUCCUCCCAAGGUGAAACCACACCUCCUACCCGUGUCAGAGAAAGGUGUUUACAAAACCAAAGUUGUCCCUGAACCUCCACCUGAGGUCCAUCAACUUAAAGCUGUUGAUCUUCCUCAAGAGCGAGUGAAAAGUCCCCUUCUGUCCACUAUAGAGGAAUCUGAAACACUCACAUCUGAUGAUAAAACCCUGACGAGACAAAUAACUCUUUCUCACGCUGAACAUUUAAGUCGUAUUUACCCGAGCGUGCACGAAUCCGAGGUGAGUUCACCUGCUGUGAAGUCGCCCGUGCAGCCACUGAGCGCUCACCAACCAAAGAUCAACACGUGGACGUCUUCCUGCACCAGCACCAGCACCAGCACCAGCACCUGCACCAGUAGCACUCACCAAGGUUGGGGUCAAUUCCAUUUUUAAAAUUACAAUUCUGUCUUCAGUUAUCCAUGUUCAAUUACAACUAAUUUACUAUUACGUUAACCAGUGUUUUAUCCUUUUACAAUUAUUACUUUCACCCUGAAAUCAAUUACAUUCUUCAUUUCUAAAAUUA
Molecule: long non-coding RNA, 2159 nt
Organism: Gouania willdenowi (blunt-snouted clingfish)
Lineage: Eukaryota; Metazoa; Chordata; Actinopteri; Blenniiformes; Gobiesocidae
Source: Ensembl